Molecule: ribosomal RNA, 242 nt
Filed under: uncultured bacterium
Lineage: Bacteria
Description: partial 16S ribosomal RNA
Rfam family: Bacterial small subunit ribosomal RNA
Source: RNAcentral
UGAGGAACAUGACCUUCGGCGGGGGAUAGCCGGCCCAACGGCCGGGUAAUACCGCGUACGACCUUUUGGGGACAUCCUCGAAAGGUGAAAGCAGCAAUGCGCCGAUGGAGUGCCUCGCGGCCUAUCAGCUAGUUGGUGGGGUAACGGCUCACCAAGGCGACGACGGGUAGCUGGUCUGAGAGGAUGGCCAGCCACAGUUGGGACUGAGACACGGCCCAGACUCCGUACGGGGAGCAGCAGGG